This 468-nucleotide ribosomal RNA is filed under the name uncultured bacterium. Its description in RNAcentral is "partial 16S ribosomal RNA". It matches the Rfam family "Bacterial small subunit ribosomal RNA", at positions 28 to 507 of the family's 1533-position model. The record is from RNAcentral.
GACGAACGCUGGCGGCGUGCUUAACACAUGCAAGUCGAACGGAAAGGCCCUGCUUUUGUGGGGUGCUCGAGUGGCGAACGGGUGAGUAACACGUGAGUAACCUGCCCUUGACUUUGGGAUAACUUCAGGAAACUGGGGCUAAUACCGGAUAGGAGCUCCUGCUGCAUGGUGGGGGUUGGAAAGUUUCGGCGGUUGGGGAUGGACUAGCGGCUUAUCAGCUUGUUGGUGGGGUAGUGGCUUACCAAGGCUUUGACGGGUAGCCGGCCUGAGAGGGUGACCGGCCACAUUGGGACUGCGAUACGGCCCAGACUCCUACGGGAGGCAGCAGUGGGGAAUAUUGCACAAUGGGCGGAAGCCUGAUGCAGCAACGCCGCGUGCGGGAUGACGGCCUUCGGGUUGUAAACCGCUGUCGCCUGUGACGAAGCGUGAGUGACGGUAAUGGGUAAAGAAGCACCGGCUAACUACGUG